Molecule: ribosomal RNA, 1308 nt
Filed under: Triticum aestivum (bread wheat)
Lineage: Eukaryota; Viridiplantae; Streptophyta; Magnoliopsida; Poales; Poaceae
Description: partial small subunit ribosomal RNA
Source: RNAcentral
AUGGCGUCCGGGAAGCACUUCAAGUACGUCGUCCUCGGCGGCGGGGUCUCCGGGGGGUACGCGGCGCGGGAGUUCGCCAAGCAGGGCGUGCAGCCGGGGGAGCUCGCCAUCAUCUCCAAGGAGGCCGUGGCUCCUUACGAGCGCCCUGCCCUCAGCAAGGCAUACCUGUUCCCCCAGAAUCCUGCAAGAUUGCCAGGAUUCCAUGUGUGCGUGGGAAGUGGAGGCGAGAGGCUCCUGCCUGAAUGGUACUCAGAGAAAGGCAUCGAGCUUAUCCUGAGCACUGAAAUUGUCAAAGCUGAUCUUGCUUCCAAGACUCUGACUAGUGAAGCUGGAGCAACCUUUACAUAUGAGAUCUUGCUAAUUGCUACUGGCUCCUCAGUCAUUAAGCUCUCUGAUUUUGGCACUCAAGGAGCUGAUUCUAACAACAUUCUGUACCUAAGGGAAGUUGACGAUGCGGACCAGCUGUAUGCAGCUAUCCAAGCAAAGAAGGGUGGGAAGGCAGUGGUUGUUGGAGGAGGUUACAUUGGCCUUGAACUAAGCGCAGUAUUGAAGAUGAACGAUCUUGAUGUGACUAUGGUGUUCCCUGAACCUUGGUGCAUGCCUCGUCUCUUCACUGCCGAGAUUGCGGCUUUCUACGAGAGUUACUAUACUAACAAAGGAGUCAAGAUCUUGAAGGGUACAAUUGCUGUUGGUUUUGAUGCUGACGCCAAUGGUGAUGUGACCGCAGUUAAGCUAAAGGACGGCAGUGUGCUCGACGCUGAUAUUGUUGUCGUCGGUGUUGGGGGCAGACCGUUGACUAAUCUCUUCAAAGGCCAAGUUGCCGAGGAGAAAGGUGGAAUCAAGACCGAUGCUUUUUUCGAAACAAGUGUCCCUGGAGUGUAUGCCGUUGGCGACGUGGCGACCUUCCCGAUGAAGAUCUACAACGACGAGAGGAGAGUGGAGCACGUUGACCAUUCCAGGAAGUCCGCGGAGCAGGCCGUGAAGGCGAUCAAGGGGAAAGAGGCGGGCUCUGCCGUGGAGGAGUACGACUACCUGCCCUACUUCUACUCGCGGUCGUUCGACCUGUCGUGGCAGUUCUACGGGGACAACGUCGGCGACGCCAUCCUGUUCGGCGACGCCGACCCCAGCUCCACCAAGCCCAAGUUCGGGUCGUACUGGGUCAAGGACGGCAAGUGUGUGGGCGCGUUCCUGGAGGGCGGGUCGCCGGACGAGAACGCCGCCAUCGCCAAGCUCGCGAGGGCCCAGCCGCCCGCCGCCAGCCCCGACGAGCUCAAGGCCGCCGGCCUCCAGUUCGCCAGCAAGAUCUGA